Molecule: ribosomal RNA, 256 nt
Filed under: Morganella morganii
Lineage: Bacteria; Pseudomonadati; Pseudomonadota; Gammaproteobacteria; Enterobacterales; Morganellaceae
Description: partial 16S ribosomal RNA
Rfam family: Bacterial small subunit ribosomal RNA
Source: RNAcentral
GCUUGCUUCCCGCUGACGAGCGGCGGACGGGUGAGUAAUGUAUGGGGAUCUGCCCGAUAGAGGGGGAUAACUACUGGAAACGGUGGCUAAUACCGCAUAAUCUCUUAGGAGCAAAGCAGGGGACCUUUUGGCCUUGCGCUGUCGGAUGAACCCAUAUGGGAUUAGCUAGUAGGUAAGGUAAUGGCUUACCUAGGCGACGAUCCCUAGCUGGUCUGAGAGGAUGAUCAGCCACACUGGGACUGAGACACGGCCCAGA